AACGCCCCUCAAUUCUUUUAACGAAAAUGGCAAACUUAACCCCGAUUCAUCAUUUGAAACUAGAAUUUUAUCAAAAACUAUUUGUUGUUGGACUAUUGGAGGGGCUAACUUGUCAAUGAACUGUUCAGCAAUAUUAAGAGACAUUAUUAACUUGAGCAACCAUUGACUUAUAUCAAUGUGAGCGACUCAAAGUUUUCGACAGUCAUACUAUGUCGAUAUCGUUCUUCAGCCUCUUUACGCCCUUUAACAGCAGAUGAACAUUCUUCAUCGCACCAGACAGGAGAGGAGAUAAGAAGCAGCAAUGACUGAAUAGUCAUCACCAUGAGAAGAAAGAUUAAUUAAAGAAAAGGGAUAACAAUUGCUAAUGAGCAAGGCAACACCACCAUGCCCAUCAGUUCUUUGCGAAAACAAGAAUAGCCUGGGAUCUUAAACCUGAACUCAGGUCUAAGCCAGGUCUCAAAUAGAGAAAUAAUAAAAGGAUUAAAUUUAUUUACAAUAUAUAUUAAGUCAGAUUUUUUAUUUACUAUGCUUCGGCAAUUCCACUGUAUUACUGCUGCGUUGUAGUAUAGUGUAGUAAGUAUGCAAUCAUUUCGAAAAUUUUACAUUUUUCUAUUAAUAUAUUUAUUCAUGAUUGAUUCAUA
Hyposmocoma kahamanoa is the source of this 641-nucleotide long non-coding RNA. RefSeq lists it as uncharacterized. Lineage: Eukaryota; Metazoa; Arthropoda; Insecta; Lepidoptera; Cosmopterigidae. The transcript is spliced from 3 exons. The record is from RefSeq and is a predicted model, not a curated record.